RNAcentral lists this ribosomal RNA (939 nucleotides) under uncultured Actinomycetes bacterium. RNAcentral describes it as "bacterial SSU rRNA". It matches the Rfam family "Bacterial small subunit ribosomal RNA", at positions 56 to 1004 of the family's 1533-position model. The record is from RNAcentral. Lineage: Bacteria; Bacillati; Actinomycetota; Actinomycetes.
UGCAAGUCGAACGGAAAGGCCCUGCUUUUGUGGGGUGCUCGAGUGGCGAACGGGUGAGUAACACGUGAGUAACCUGCCCUUGACUUUGGGAUAACUUCAGGAAACUGGGGCUAAUACCGGAUAGGAGCUCCUGUUGCAUGGUGGGGGUUGGAAAGUUUCGGCGGUUGGGGAUGGACUCGCGGCUUAUCAGCUUGUUGGUGGGGUAGUGGCUUACCAAGGCUUUGACGGGUAGCCGGCCUGAGAGGGUGACCGGCCACAUUGGGACUGAGAUACGGCCCAGACUCCUACGGGAGGCAGCAGUGGGGAAUAUUGCACAAUGGGCGGAAGCCUGAUGCAGCAACGCCGCGUGCGGGAUGACGGCCUUCGGGUUGUAAACCGCUUUCGCCUGUGACGAAGCGUGAGUGACGGUAAUGGGUAAAGAAGCACCGGCUAACUACGUGCCAGCAGCCGCGGUGAUACGUAGGGUGCGAGCGUUGUCCGGAUUUAUUGGGCGUAAAGGGCUCGUAGGUGGUUGAUCGCGUCGGAAGUGUAAUCUUGGGGCUUAACCCUGAGCGUGCUUUCGAUACGGGUUGACUUGAGGAAGGUAGGGGAGAAUGGAAUUCCUGGUGGAGCGGUGGAAUGCGCAGAUAUCAGGAGGAACACCAGUGGCGAAGGCGGUUCUCUGGGCCUUUCCUGACGCUGAGGAGCGAAAGCGUGGGGAGCGAACAGGCUUAGAUACCCUGGUAGUCCACGCUGUAAACGGUGGGUACUAGGUGUGGGGUCCAUUCCACGGGUUCCGUGCCGUAGCUAACGCUUUAAGUACCCCGCCUGGGGAGUACGGCCGCAAGGCUAAAACUCAAAGGAAUUGACGGGGCCCCGCACAAGCGGCGGAGCAUGCGGAUUAAUUCGAUGCGACGCGUAGAACCUUACCUGGGUUUGACAUGGAUCGGGGAGUGCUCA